CAGUUAAUUAGUUAAAAUCAUUUAUUUUUCUCAUAAUAACUAUUUAAUCACAAUUCCAUUUUUUUGUUGUUGUUGUUCCAGAGAAUGUGUGUCUUUUUAUGCAAGACCCUCAGUUGGAUCACCAGCACUAAAAAAGGCAGGGGAAGAAAGCCUAACUUAAACCAAAGAAGCUAAAACAAAAUCCACCCCAAGUGCUGAGGGCCAUUACCAAGU
Molecule: long non-coding RNA, 213 nt
Filed under: Ictidomys tridecemlineatus (thirteen-lined ground squirrel)
Lineage: Eukaryota; Metazoa; Chordata; Mammalia; Rodentia; Sciuridae
Description: lncRNA (ENSSTOG00000030613.1)
Source: RNAcentral